AUUGAACGCUGGCGGCAGGCCCAACACAUGCAAGUCGAGCGGAUGAAGGGAGCUUGCUCCUGGAUUCAGCGGCGGACGGGUGAGUAAUGCCUAGGAAUCUGCCUGGUAGUGGGGGAUAACGUCCGGAAACGGGCGCUAAUACCGCAUACGUCCUGAGGGAGAAAGUGGGGGAUCUUCGGACCUCACGCUAUCAGAUGAGCCUAGGUCGGAUUAGCUAGUUGGUGGGGUAAAGGCCUACCAAGGCGACGAUCCGUAACUGGUCUGAGAGGAUGAUCAGUCACACUGGAACUGAGACACGGUCCAGACUCCUACGGGAGGCAGCAGUGGGGAAUAUUGGACAAUGGGCGAAAGCCUGAUCCAGCCAUGCCGCGUGUGUGAAGAAGGUCUUCGGAUUGUAAAGCACUUUAAGUUGGGAGGAAGGGCAGUAAGUUAAUACCGUGCUGUUUUGACGUUACCAACAGAAUAAGCACCGGCUAACUUCG
RNAcentral lists this ribosomal RNA (482 nucleotides) under uncultured bacterium. RNAcentral's name for it is "partial 16S ribosomal RNA". It matches the Rfam family "Bacterial small subunit ribosomal RNA", at positions 30 to 505 of the family's 1533-position model. The record is from RNAcentral.